AAAAUCUGUUGUAAAACACCAGAUUUGUUAACAAAUUAAUUAAAUCUGUGAUCACACAAAACAACUCUGUCAUGACUAUAUAACAUUUUUCCGGGUUAACAAAUCUAUUAUAACACAACAGAUUUUUGGUUACAAAUAGAAAAUAUGUUGCUACAAUAAGGAAAAAUUUGCGGUAUGGAAAACAAAUCAGUGACACAUUUGGUUUCAACAUUCUUAAUUUUGAAAUUUAAAAACAAAUCGGUGGAGACUAUAUGAAACAAAUCAGUCACGGUAAAAGAAUAUGAACAAAAAAAUCUGGCGUAACAUAACAUAGUAAAGUUUGUGGUACAAAACAAGUCUAUUGUAAAAAAUCUGUGGUUGACCAAAAAAUCUGUGAUCUUAAACAAAUCCGUCGCAACAAGAGCCACAGAUUUACCAAAAAUGACUAUGGCAUUUUCGUAAAUAAAUGUGGUUUUAUUGCCAUGCUGGAAUUAAAUAGUAAUGACAUUUCUGUAAUAUUGUUUUUCUACAAAGGAAAACAGGGAUAUUUUAGGUAUAAU
This 539-nucleotide small RNA is filed under the name Arabidopsis thaliana (thale cress). RNAcentral describes it as "ATSL042350". Lineage: Eukaryota; Viridiplantae; Streptophyta; Magnoliopsida; Brassicales; Brassicaceae. The record is from RNAcentral.